GACAAACGCUGGCGGCGUGCCUAAUACAUGCAAGUCGAACGCUUCUUUUUCCACCGGAGCUUGCUCCACCGGAAAAAGAGGAGUGGCGAACGGGUGAGUAACACGUGGGUAACCUGCCCAUAAGAAGGGGAUAACACUUGGAAACAGGUGCUAAUACCGUCUAACAAUCGAAACCGCAUGGUUAUGAUUUGAAAGGCGCUUUCUGGUGUCGCUGAUGGAUGGACCGCCGGUGCAUUAGCUAGGUGGUGAGGUAACGGCUCACCAAGGCCACGAUGCAUAGCCGACCUGAGAGGGUGAUCGGCCACAUUGUAACGGAUACACGGCCCAAACUCCUACGGGAGGCAGCAGUAGGGAAUCUUCGGCAAUGGACGAAAGUCUGACCGAGCAACGCCGCGUGAGUGAAGAAGGUUUUCGGAUCGUAAAACUCUGUUGUUAGAGAAGAACAAGGAUGAGAGUAACUGUUCAUCCCUUGACGGUAUCUAACCAGAAAGCCACGGCUAACUACGUGCCAGCCGCCGCUGUAA
This 524-nucleotide ribosomal RNA is filed under the name uncultured bacterium. RNAcentral describes it as "partial 16S ribosomal RNA". It matches the Rfam family "Bacterial small subunit ribosomal RNA", at positions 28 to 523 of the family's 1533-position model. The record is from RNAcentral.